UCGAGAAUCUUCGUCAAUGGGCGAAAGCCUGAACGAGCGACGCCGCGUGCGGGAUGAAGGCCUUCGGGUUGUAAACCGCUGUCAGUGGGGAGGAAAUGCUGGAGGGUUCUCCCUUCAGUUUGACCUAUCCGCAGAGGAAGUACGGGCUAAGUUCGUGCCAGCAGCCGCGGUAACACGAACCGUACAAACGUUAUUCGGAAUUACUGGGCUUAAAGGGUGCGUAGGCGGCUCAGAAAGUUGGGUGUGAAAGCCCUCGGCUUAACCGAGGAAUAGCGCCCAAAACUACUGGGCUUGAGGAAGGCAGAGGUGAGCGGAACUACGGGUGGAGCGGUGAAAUGCAUUGAUAUCCGUAGGAACACCAGGGGCGAAAGCGGCUCACUGGGUCUUUUCUGACGCUGAGGCACGAAAGCCAGGGGAGCGAACGGG
Molecule: ribosomal RNA, 426 nt
Filed under: uncultured prokaryote
Also listed under: 1 other name
Description: bacterial SSU rRNA
Rfam family: Bacterial small subunit ribosomal RNA
Source: RNAcentral